GGACUACCCGGGUAUCUAAUCCCGUUCGCUCCCCUAGCUUUCGCGCCUCAGCGUCAGAAGAGGUCCAGCACGUCGCUUUCGCCACCGGAGUUCCUUCUGAUAUCAACGCAUUUCACCGCUCCACCAGAAGUUCCACAUGCCCCUACCUCACUCGAGACCACCAGUAUCCAAGGCACUUUUCCGGUUAAGCCGAAAGAUUUCACCCCGGACUUGGUGGUCCGCCUACGCGCCCUUUAAGCCCAGUGAUUCCGAACAACGUUUGGACGGUUCGUCUUACCGCGGCGGCUGGCAC
Molecule: ribosomal RNA, 292 nt
Filed under: uncultured bacterium
Lineage: Bacteria
Also listed under: 2 other names
Description: partial 16S ribosomal RNA
Source: RNAcentral